AAUUAUUUUGUAAAAAUUUUGUUCGAAAAUUUCGACGUUUGGGCACUCAAUUUAGUCAAAAGGACUAAAUUGUAAAAAGUGCAAAAGUUGAGUUCUACAAGUUAGAGGUGUCUAAUUAUUAUGAAAUUUUAAAUUGGAGGUCCUUAAAUGGUAAUUAGACCAUUGGUUAUUUAUGGACAAAAAUAGACAUGGUUAGUAAGUAAGCUAUUUAAGGGCAUUUUGGUAAAAUGCCUUAAUUAAUGAAUAAAGACAAAAUAGCAUGAAAUAAAUUAUCAUCUUCUUCAAUUCUUUUCUUCAUGGCCGUAUGUAGCAAGGGAACACCAUGGCUAGGGUUUGUUCAUCUUCCAAGCUUCAUGACAGGGAUGACUCUGCUAGAGGGCCACAUGCAUAAGGGCUUAUACAGAUUUUAGUUUUCAAAGUCUGCUCCCAACACUGCCAGUUCUACUUCAAAGCCUAGCUCAUUUUUGCUGAACAAUGCUCAGAUUUCAUCUGUUUCUUUGUGGCACAACAAGCUUGGCCAUCCUUGCCAUAUCGCAUUUGCUCAUGUGUUAAAAUCUUGAAAAAUUCUUUUCAAACAAAGUAGUUUGCCUCGAAUAUGUACAGCUUAUCAGUUAGGCAAGGCUCACAAGCUACUUUUUCCUUCUUUACAUACAAUGUACUCUUUCCUUUUUGAACUUGUGGUAUCUGACAUAUGAGGACCAGCUCAUAUGACUUCAAAUGGUUUCUCUUAUUACGUUUCUUUUGUUGACAUGUAUAGCAGAUACGCUUGGAUUUAUUUUCUCAAAAACAAGUCUGAGGUGGUGCAGUGUUUUUUAAAUUUUUAUCAGAUGGUUAAAGUUCAAUUUGGUCA
Molecule: long non-coding RNA, 850 nt
Organism: Gossypium raimondii (Peruvian cotton)
Lineage: Eukaryota; Viridiplantae; Streptophyta; Magnoliopsida; Malvales; Malvaceae
Exons: 2
Source: RefSeq, a predicted model, not a curated record